Molecule: ribosomal RNA, 486 nt
Filed under: uncultured bacterium
Lineage: Bacteria
Description: partial 16S ribosomal RNA
Rfam family: Bacterial small subunit ribosomal RNA
Source: RNAcentral
GACGAACGCUGGCGGCGUGCCUAACACAUGCAAGUCGAACGGGAUCCAUGAGAGCUUGCUCUCGGAAGAUCUAGUGGCGAACGGGUGAGUAACACGUGAGAAACCUGCCCUGGAGUGGGGAAUAACUCGGGGAAACUCGAGCUAAUACCGCAUACCCUCGGAUGGUCGCAUGGCCGACCGAGGAAAGAUUUAUCGCUCUAGGAGGGUCUCGCGGCCUAUCAGCUAGUUGGUGGGGUAACGGCCUACCAAGGCAACGACGGGUAGCUGGUUUGAGGGAACGAUCAGCCACACUGGGACUGAGACACGGCCCAGACGCCUACGGGAGGCAGCAGUGGGGAAUCUUGCGCAAUGGGCGAAAGCCUGACGGAGCAAUGCCGCGUGAGUGAAGAAGGCCUUCGGGUCGUAAAACUCUGUUAUAAGAGAAGAACAAAUUGUAGAGUAACUGCUACAGUCUUGACGGUAUCUUAUCAGAAAGCCACGGCUAAC